UAGAAAUGGAGGCUGUUCCAAGAUCGAUCCUUUCUUGAAUUAAUUCCAUGCAUAUAUAUAUGUGAUGUGAUGAUGAAAGAUGAUCUAUCUCGGACCAGGCUUCAUUCCUC
Molecule: microRNA precursor, 110 nt
Filed under: Salvia sclarea (clary)
Lineage: Eukaryota; Viridiplantae; Streptophyta; Magnoliopsida; Lamiales; Lamiaceae
Description: miR166a stem-loop (ssl-MIR166a)
Gene: ssl-MIR166a
Source: miRBase by way of RNAcentral